This 301-nucleotide ribosomal RNA is filed under the name uncultured bacterium. Its description in RNAcentral is "partial 16S ribosomal RNA". It matches the Rfam family "Bacterial small subunit ribosomal RNA", at positions 509 to 807 of the family's 1533-position model. The record is from RNAcentral.
CAGUAGCCGCGGUAAUACGAAGGGGGCUAGCGUUGCUCGGAAUGACUGGGCGCAAAGGGCGCGUAGGCGGAUGGCACAGUCAGAUGUGAAAUUCCCGGGCUUAACCUGGGGGCUGCAUUUGAUACGUGUUGUCUAGAGUGAGGAAGAGGGUCGUGGAAUUCCCAGUGUAGAGGUGAAAUUCGUAGAUAUUGGGAAGAACACCGGUGGCGAAGGCGGCGACCUGGUCCUUUACUGACGCUGAGGCGCGAAAGCGUGGGGAGCAAACAGGAUUAGAUACCCCUGUAGUCCCUGUCUCUUAUAC